UAGACAAGCAGAAAGAAAAGCAAUAAUAUACUAUGUAAGCUCCUGCCUUUUAUUAGCUCAGCUCCCUUUUCUCCCCUUGUAAAGCAGUGUUGUGUUGUUAUAUUAAUCUUUACUGUGAAGCAAAUUAAAGCAGGGACAGUUGUCAGAGCAUUAUUAAGAACAUCUGUUUAAUUAGGGCUGCCUUUGCAUCCAUUGGAGGGGGGAGUGGAGCAGCCCUGCUCAUCCCCUCCUGCCUCACACCCCCUGCCCAGCAAGGACCUGUGGUGAACCCAGGAGCCUUCAUCACCUGCCCUUCCUCUCAAAAACUCUCCCCAUUCAUCCUGAGAUGGAAAGAAGGAGGAGCAGGCAGAAAGGGGUAAACCAAGGCUGAGAGAGAGGCAGCCACUUGCUGGAGUCGAAGGUGGUGCUGCCAGUGGAAACAAGGCCUUCCAGACCCAAAUUAGGGACUGUAAAGGAGGAGCAGCAAUACCAGAGGGAGCCACAACCCCUGGCAUGAUCCACCCGUGCAGCAGUUGGGAUGUCCUGGAAUCCUCCCUGGAAUGUUGUCCUGGGUAAAGUAGAGCAUUCCUGGUCACUGGGAUUUGAAUUGUGAUUUUCCAUGGAUGAAACCCAACUCUCAUCUUGCCUCCUGUUCGAGCACUCUGCUUCCCAGGGGGGAAGAAAAGACAUUUUCCAGCAGAGAUGUCCAUGGAAAUCCAGGCUUUGUGAGCUUUAAAGCUUUCAUCAGUAGAUCAGAGUGAUGAAAAGCGGUGGCGUGGCAGCUGAAACCCUCUGCAGGAGGGGAGCAAAUGCUCACUCCACACCUUGGACCACCAGGAUGUCUCAAACCACCCACUCUGGGCUCUGCAGCUGAGAAAUUGCUCCCAUUUCCAGCAAAAACAAUGGAGUGGAGUGGGAAUUUCUGGCUGUAGAGACCUCUCUGUUCACACUGGGGGUGAUCCUCAGCAAACUCAGCUCGUGCCAUCACCCCACUGCUACCAGUCAGUGCCAAUUUGGAUUUAUUCAGGGUUGGGACCUGGUUUUCUCCAGCUUGGAGAAAGCGAUAUUUGGGAGUCUGGCAUCUGGGAGGCUCUGAAAUUUCCAUGCCAUUAGGAAAUAACAGAGCUGAGGGAAGAAGACAAUUUGUCUGAAAGAAAAGAAAAAAGUGUUUGAGAGCAUCAGAGGUGUUUAAAUCUGAGCAGAAGGUGCAUAUAAAGAUCUCAAACAAAUGUGAAACAUGUUUUUAAUAAAGUUGCCCUCUCAGCCUCUUUAUUGUAGGUUUUAAAUGCUGUGGUACAGAGAGGACAAAGGAGGUGACUUAAACCUGCCACUGCCUGGUGAACUCGGGGUUUUUAUAUCAGGAGUCCUCUGCCCAGAAGGGAUUGUAAAGAAAAUGUGUUUCUGUGCUGUGAUCCAUGAAGGAUCUGUGCUGUGCUUGUUCCCUUGACACAGGUAAACAUCUCCGUGGUGAGGACAUGGGAUUUAAGGACAGUGCCAUGCUGUAACAUUAGAAUUGGGUUAAAAGUCCCGUUCUGAGGAUGUUUAGAAAGCCCGGUCCUUGUUCAGUCACGGAGCCAGGCAGGCUCAGGCUGUUCAGAUCUUCAUCCUGCCCACAAUUUGGAGAGGAGGCAGCGAGUAAAAUCAUUGAAUGGAGGGUCUUGCAGCUGUGAGCUGCUCCCAGAGGUGUGGUGCCAAGCCCUUGCCCUGGUGAGCUCUGGGCAUGGUGAAGGUUUGAGUGCUCCAGUAGCCUGUGCCUGUCCCAGAGUCCUGUCUGGGGCAGGAAUGCCUCCCAUGAGUGCCCCGGGCACAGCAAACACAUCAUUGCUGCCAGCUGAGCUCAACUGGCCCUUUAGGAGUGAAGUGCAUCGGGGGCUGCUCUCCAGGAGCAAUCUGCCCGUGUUCCAGCUGGGAUGAGCUGGUUUUGCUCAAGAGUGGCCUCAUGGUGGGGCUGAAGCCACCUUCUGCUGUGGGUUAGGCAGGGCCCAGCCUGGGGGGAGAAUCUGAGGGUAAAAAUCCUGUUGGUUGAAAUAAAAACAGCUUAAUCAAGUAAAGCAAACCAAGGAAUUCCUUCAGUGCUCCCCAUUAUCCAGCCAGGUCAGCUGUGUCCCCUCCCAGCUUCCUGCAUUGCCCUGUCAGGCAGUGAUUCCUACUCCAGGGACUCUGGAAUUCCAGAAUUCUUGGAGUUCUGUAGCCUUUGGUGAAGGUUAGGAGCACAAACAGACCUGGG
Molecule: long non-coding RNA, 2206 nt
Organism: Passer domesticus (house sparrow)
Lineage: Eukaryota; Metazoa; Chordata; Aves; Passeriformes; Passeridae
Exons: 3
Source: RefSeq, a predicted model, not a curated record